AGGCACGGCUGGGGGUGCCAUGCAGGCGCACGUGGUGUCCCCGCAGGACGAGGUCAUGCAGCUCCAAGCCGUGCAGUGCCUCAGACUGGGCCAUGUCCAGGCCACUCACAAAGCAGCCGGCGCCGAUUUGAAUGGGGCCCUGGCCUCACCCGAAGGUGGCAGUGCUGCAGGACACUCCCAGGACCCAGCUGGACAGGGCCCUCCAGCAGGCAGCUGACCACGGAGCUUCCAGCGCCCAGGAGCUGCAGCUCCUGUGAAGCCAGGGAGAAGGUUGUAAGGGCCCAGGGCCAAGGGCUACCCCAGUGCUCUUCCACAGCCAAGGCCCGAGCUGAAUUCCUGCUGCUCAGUGUGCCUGCCGGCCAGCCAGACCCCAGUCAGUCCCUGCCCUGGCCUCAGCCUUAGGCCUACUCCCAUCCCACCUUGUUCAUGCGGUUCCACCAGGGGCAUGCUCUCCCUGCAUUCUCCUCCAGAGCAAAUCUCAACUGAGUAAUGGAGGUCCCACCAGAUGACAGCUCUCACAGAAAACCUCUCCCACCCAUCCAGGUGGAUACCCAGGUGUGGGACUGCUGGGUCACGUGAUGGGAAACCAAUCCGACUCCAGAGCCCCUGGCCGUCCCAAGACCAUCUGUGGACGAGCACCUAGGGGGGCCCUGGCAUCUACCUCUGGCAGGGCCCCGGCUGCUGUCCCACCAGGCAACCCACCUCCACCUCUUCCCUCCGGCCCCCAAAGCUCAGCAUCGGAAGGAGAGUGGAAGCAAGCUGCACGCUGUCCCAGAGGUGCCCUGCGCACACAGUCAGCCCAGGGCCCAGCCAGAGCCGACAGGAAACCUGAAGCUCAGCAACAGUUUCUUCUUCUGCCAGACUCUGCUGCCACCAAGCCUAUGGUUAAGGCUGACAAAUACCACCGCUUAGCAACACUCACACUCCCACAAGCUUUCAGGGAAAGCCUCCACCACUAACAGAAAUUGCUCUGUUCCCUGCUCGGCCCAGAAGGGAAAUCCAGAGGGGAAAUUUGAGAUAGAGAUCUUGGCCAGGCACCUGAGAGCAAAAGCAUUCCCCAGAGAGAGGACGGCAAAGGAUUCCAGCUUGGCCGCCAACUCAGUGUGUGAUCUUCAGCACCCCUAAGUCUCCCAGGCCUCCUGUGGCAGGGAGUGUAAUUGACAGAUGCCCCCAGCUUGUCCACAUGGAGGCACACUUUCCACCAACUGCUGCCAAUCAAUGACAGCGCAGCAGGGACACGAAGACAGACCCAAUCCUGGGGAUUCUCUGACCGGCAACUUUGGCUCCAGGACUCCCCAUCGACUCAAGGGAAACUGUCUUAGAACUGCAAUGCAGUCUGUGACUCUUCCUACCCUUCCCUCCCUCCUUCCUUCUGGUGCUCCUUCACAGGGAGCAGACCUGGACUGCAAACUGACAUCUCUCCCUGCCUCCUCCAGCUUCCUCCUCCUCUUUUCCCCUCCCCUGAUAAAUCUCUUGCAAGUCUAAUCCCAUCUUGGUGUCUGCUUCUUCAAGGGGGAACCAACAGGGGGAGUAUAAGAUCACCUCCCUCUUGGUACGUUCAAAGGAAAAAUCAUUGUAAGAACCUCUAACGUACUGUCUGGGAAGUACUAUCCUUAUCCUUACAGAUGAAGAAACUGAGGUACAGAGAGAUUAAGUAACUUGCCCAAGGUUGCACAGCUAAGGAAGUGGCAGAGCCCAACUUGAACUCAAACACAUUUUUUUUCAGUCCAUUCUCUUAACCACUACACUGAACCUAUUUUGUAGGAUUGAAUAAAGAACAAAAGGAGUACA
Molecule: long non-coding RNA, 1791 nt
Organism: Equus caballus (horse)
Lineage: Eukaryota; Metazoa; Chordata; Mammalia; Perissodactyla; Equidae
Source: RefSeq, a predicted model, not a curated record